GGGUUGUGAGGUUAAGCGACUAAGCGUACACGGUGGAUGCCCUGGCAGUCAGAGGCGAUGAAGGACGUGCUAAUCUGCGAUAAGCGUCGGUAAGGUGAUAUGAACCGUUAUAACCGGCGAUUUCCGAAUGGGGAAACCCAGUGUGWUUCGWCACACUAUCAUUAACUGAAUCCAUAGGUUAAUGAGGCGAACCGGGGGAACUGAAACAUCUAAGUACCCCGAGGAAAAGAAAUCAACCGAGAUUCCCCCAGUAGCGGCGAGCGAACGGGGAGCAGCCCAGAGCCUGAAUCAGUGUGUGUGUUAGUGGAAGCGUCUGGAAAGGCGCGCGAUACAGGGUGACAGCCCCGUACACAAAAAUGCACAUGCUGUGAGCUCGAUGAGUAGGGCGGGACACGUGGUAUCCUGUCUGAAUAUGGGGGGACCAUCCUCCAAGGCUAAAUACUCCUGACUGACCGAUAGUGAACCAGUACCGUGAGGGAAAGGCGAAAAGAACCCCGGCGAGGGGAGUGAAAAAGAACCUGAAACCGUGUACGUACAAGCAGUGGGAGCACGCUUAGGCGUGUGACUGCGUACCUUUUGUAUAAUGGGUCAGCGACUUAUAUUCUGUAGCAAGGUUAACCGAAUAGGGGAGCCGAAGGGAAACCGAGUCUUAACUGGGCGUUAAGUUGCAGGGUAUAGACCCGAAACCCGGUGAUCUAGCCAUGGGCAGGUUGAAGGUUGGGUAACACUAACUGGAGGACCGAACCGACUAAUGUUGAAAAAUUAGCGGAUGACUUGUGGCUGGGGGUGAAAGGCCAAUCAAACCGGGAGAUAGCUGGUUCUCCCCGAAAGCUAUUUAGGUAGCGCCUCGUGAAYUCAUCUCCGGGGGUAGAGCACUGUUUCGGCAAGGGGGUCAUCCCGACUUACCAACCCGAUGCAAACURCGAAUACCGGAGAAUGUUAUCACGGGAGACACACGGCGGGUGCUAACGUCCGUCGUGAAGAGGGAAACAACCCAGACCGCCAGCUAAGGUCCCAAAGUCAUGGUUAAGUGGGAAACGAUGUGGGAAGGCCCAGACAGCCAGGAUGUUGGCUUAGAAGCAGCCAUCAUUUAAAGAAAGCGUAAUAGCUCACUGGUCGAGUCGGCCUGCGCGGAAGAUGUAACGGGGCUAAACCAUGCACCGAAGCUGCGGCAGCGACGCUUAUGCGUUGUUGGGUAGGGGAGCGUUCUGUAAGCCUGYGAAGGUGUGCUGUGAGGCAUGCUGGAGGUAUCAGAAGUGCGAAUGCUGACAUAAGUAACGAUAAAGCGGGUGAAAAGCCCGCUCGCCGGAAGACCAAGGGUUCCUGUCCAACGUUAAUCGGGGCAGGGUGAGUCGACCCCUAAGGCGAGGCCGAAAGGCGUAGUCGAUGGGAAACAGGUUAAUAUUCCUGUACUUGGUGUUACUGCGAAGGGGGGACGGAGAAGGCUAUGUUGGCCGGGCGACGGUUGUCCCGGUUUAAGCGUGUAGGCUGGUUUUCCAGGCAAAUCCGGAAAAYYAAGGCUGAGGCGUGAUGACGAGGCACUACGGUGCUGAAGCAACAAAUGCCCUGCUUCCAGGAAAAGCCUCUAAGCAUCAGGUAACAUCAAAUCGUACCCCAAACCGACACAGGUGGUCAGGUAGAGAAUACCAAGGCGCUUGAGAGAACUCGGGUGAAGGAACUAGGCAAAAUGGUGCCGUAACUUCGGGAGAAGGCACGCUGAUAUGUAGGUGAAGUCCCUCGCGGAUGGAGCUGAAAUCAGUCGAAGAUACCAGCUGGCUGCAACUGUUUAUUAAAAACACAGCACUGUGCAAACACGAAAGUGGACGUAUACGGUGUGACGCCUGCCCGGUGCCGGAAGGUUAAUUGAUGGGGUCAGCGCAAGCGAAGCUCUUGAUCGAAGCCCCGGUAAACGGCGGCCGUAACUAUAACGGUCCUAAGGUAGCGAAAUUCCUUGUCGGGUAAGUUCCGACCUGCACGAAUGGCGUAAUGAUGGCCAGGCUGUCUCCACCCGAGACUCAGUGAAAUUGAACUCGCUGUGAAGAUGCAGUGUACCCGCGGCAAGACGGAAAGACCCCGUGAACCUUUACUAUAGCUUGACACUGAACAUUGAGCCUUGAUGUGUAGGAUAGGUGGGAGGCUUKGAAGUGUGGACGCCAGUCUGCAUGGAGCCGACCUUGAAAUACCACCCUUUAAUGUUUGAUGUUCUAACGUUGACCCGURAUCCGGGUUGCGGACAGUGUCUGGUGGGUAGUUUGACUGGGGCGGUCUCCUCCUAAAGAGUAACGGAGGAGCACGAAGGUUGGCUAAUCCUGGUCGGACAUCAGGAGGUUAGUGCAAUGGCAUAAGCCAGCUUGACUGCGAGCGUGACGGCGCGAGCAGGUGCGAAAGCAGGUCAUAGUGAUCCGGUGGUUCUGAAUGGAAGGGCCAUCGCUCAACGGAUAAAAGGUACUCCGGGGAUAACAGGCUGAUACCGCCCAAGAGUUCAUAUCGACGGCGGUGUUUGGCACCUCGAUGUCGGCUCAUCACAUCCUGGGGCUGAAGUAGGUCCCAAGGGUAUGGCUGUUCGCCAUUUAAAGUGGUACGCGAGCUGGGUUUAGAACGUCGUGAGACAGUUCGGUCCCUAUCUGCCGUGGGCGCUGGAGAAYUGAGGGGGGCUGCUCCUAGUACGAGAGGACCGGAGUGGACGCAUCACUGGUGUUCGGGUUGUCAUGCCAAUGGCACUGCCCGGUAGCUAAAUGCGGAAGAGAUAAGUGCUGAAAGCAUCUAAGCACGAAACUUGCCCCGAGAUGAGUUCUCCCUGACUCCUUGAGAGUCCUGAAGGAACGUUGAAGACGACGACGUUGAUAGGCCGGRUGUGUAAGCGCAGCGAUGCGUUGAGCUAACCGGUACUAAUGAACCGUGAGGCUUAACCUUACAACGCCGAAGSUGUU
This 2930-nucleotide ribosomal RNA is filed under the name Escherichia coli. RNAcentral describes it as "bacterial LSU rRNA". It matches the Rfam family "Bacterial large subunit ribosomal RNA". Lineage: Bacteria; Pseudomonadati; Pseudomonadota; Gammaproteobacteria; Enterobacterales; Enterobacteriaceae. The record is from RNAcentral.